UACGUAGGGGGCAAGCGUUGUCUGGAUUCAUUGGGCGUAAAGAGCGUGUAGGCGGCCAGGUAGGUCGGUUGUGAAAACUGGAGGCUCAACCUUCAGAGGUCGACCGAAACCAUCUGGCUAGAGUCCGGGAGAGGAGAGUGGAAUUCCUGGUGUAGCGGUGAAAUGCGCAGAUAUCAGGAAGAACACCCGUGGCGAAAGCGGCUCUCUGGAACGGUACUGACGCUGAGACGCGAAAGCGUGGGGAGCAAACAGG
Molecule: ribosomal RNA, 253 nt
Filed under: uncultured bacterium
Lineage: Bacteria
Description: partial 16S ribosomal RNA
Rfam family: Bacterial small subunit ribosomal RNA
Source: RNAcentral